This 501-nucleotide ribosomal RNA is filed under the name uncultured bacterium. RNAcentral describes it as "partial 16S ribosomal RNA". It matches the Rfam family "Bacterial small subunit ribosomal RNA", at positions 30 to 523 of the family's 1533-position model. The record is from RNAcentral.
AUUGAACGCUGGCGGCAUGCCUUACACAUGCAAGUCGAACGGCAGCACGGGUGCUUGCACCUGGUGGCGAGUGGCGAACGGGUGAGUAAUACAUCGGAACGUACCUUAUCGUGGGGGACAACGCAGCGAAAGCUGUGCUAAUACCGCAUACGCCCUGAGGGGGAAAGCGGGGGAUCGCAAGACCUCGCGCGAUUAGAGCGGCCGAUGCCUGAUUAGCUUGUUGGUGGGGUAAAAGCUCACCAAGGCGAUGAUCAGUAGCUGGUCUGAGAGGACGAUCAGCCACACUGGGACUGAGACACGGCCCAGACUCCUACGGGAGGCAGCAGUGGGGAAUUUUGGACAAUGGGGGCAACCCUGAUCCAGCAAUGCCGCGUGAGUGAAGAAGGCCUUCGGGUUGUAAAGCUCUUUUGUCAGGGAAGAAACAGCAGCUCUAACACAGUCUGCGAAUGACGGUACCUGAAGAAUAAGCACCGGCUAACUACGUGCCAGCAGCCGCCGUAA